GACGAAGGUGGCGAGCGUUGUUCGGAAUCACUGGGCUUAAAGAGCACGUAGGCGGACCGUUUUGCACUUUGUGAAAUCCCCCGGCUUAACCGGGGAAUUGCUUGGUGAACGGACGGUCUUGAGGCAGGUAAGGGCGUGGAGAACUCUUGGUGGAGCGGUGGAAUGCGUAGAUAUCAAGAGGAAUGCCGGAGGUGAAGACGCCGCGCUGGGCCUGUCCUGACGCUGAGGUGCGAAAGCCAGGGGAGCAAACGGG
This 253-nucleotide ribosomal RNA is filed under the name uncultured bacterium. RNAcentral's name for it is "partial 16S ribosomal RNA". It matches the Rfam family "Bacterial small subunit ribosomal RNA", at positions 524 to 776 of the family's 1533-position model. The record is from RNAcentral.